GUCCGAGUCCGAAAGCACCAUUUGUCAUGAAGAUGAAGCCCUCUUCGGCGACCUUUUUUCUGAGGGUGGUCGUUCAGCAGGUUCUGUGGAUGGAUAUGAUCAACCUGCUGUUGCACCUAGUUCUAAUAUAAGCAAUAUGCCCAUUCAGGCUGCAACUGAAUUGCUCAGCUUUUUGAAUGAUAGCAUUUUUUCACAUGAAUGGUGUGGUCCUGUAUACGAAGAUGGGUGCAGGAAAUUUACAAGCCACCACAUUGACAUUUUGCUUUCUAUACUCAAUUCCGAAUGGUGUGAUGCUGAAGAAAGAGAUCAGGAUGAUGGGAUAGCUCUAAAUGAACAAAUAA
This 341-nucleotide unclassified non-coding RNA is filed under the name Hevea brasiliensis (rubber tree). Lineage: Eukaryota; Viridiplantae; Streptophyta; Magnoliopsida; Malpighiales; Euphorbiaceae. The record is from RNAcentral.